RNAcentral lists this ribosomal RNA (320 nucleotides) under uncultured eukaryote. Its description in RNAcentral is "partial 18S ribosomal RNA". It matches the Rfam family "Eukaryotic small subunit ribosomal RNA", at positions 1470 to 1796 of the family's 1831-position model. The record is from RNAcentral.
CCCUUAGAUGUUCUGGGCCGCACGCGCGCUACACUGACGAAUGCAACGAGCUUAUAACCUUGGCCGAAAGGUCUGGGUAAUCUCCAAAUUUCGUCGUGAUGGGGAUAGAUUAUUGCAAUUAUUAAUCUUCAACGAGGAAUGCCUAGUAAGCGCAAGUCAUCAGCUUGCGUUGAUUACGUCCCUGCCCUUUGUACACACCGCCCGUCGCACCUACCGAUUGAAUGGUCCGGUGAAAUCUCGGGACGGCGGCUUGGUCGCUUGCGUCCGACUGCCGAAACUUGAUUAAACCAUAUCAUUUAGAGGAAGGUGAAGUCGUANCA